RNAcentral lists this ribosomal RNA (2892 nucleotides) under Escherichia coli. RNAcentral's name for it is "bacterial LSU rRNA". It matches the Rfam family "Bacterial large subunit ribosomal RNA". The record is from RNAcentral. Lineage: Bacteria; Pseudomonadati; Pseudomonadota; Gammaproteobacteria; Enterobacterales; Enterobacteriaceae.
ACUAAGCGUACACGGUGGAUGCCCUGGCAGUCAGAGGCGAUGAAGGACGUGCUAAUCUGCGAUAAGCGUCGGUAAGGUGAUAUGAACCGUUAUAACCGGCGAUUUCCGAAUGGGGAAACCCAGUGUGAUUCGUCACACUAUCAUUAACUGAAUCCAUAGGUUAAUGAGGCGAACCGGGGGAACUGAAACAUCUAAGUACCCCGAGGAAAAGAAAUCAACCGAGAUUCCCCAGUAGCGGCGAGCGAACGGGGAGCAGCCCAGAGCCUGAAUCAGUGUGUGUGUUAGUGGAAGCGUCUGGAAAGGCGCGCGAUACAGGGUGACAGCCCCGUACACAAAAAUGCACAUACUGUGAGCUCGAUGAGUAGGGCGGGACACGUGGUAUCCUGUCUGAAUAUGGGGGGACCAUCCUCCAAGGCUAAAUACUCCUGACUGACCGAUAGUGAACCAGUACCGUGAGGGAAAGGCGAAAAGAACCCCGGCGAGGGGAGUGAAAAAGAACCUGAAACCGUGUACGUACAAGCAGUGGGAGCACGCUUAGGCGUGUGACUGCGUACCUUUUGUAUAAUGGGUCAGCGACUUAUAUUCUGUAGCAAGGUUAACCGAAUAGGGGAGCCGAAGGGAAACCGAGUCUUAACUGGGCGUUAAGUUGCAGGGUAUAGACCCGAAACCCGGUGAUCUAGCCAUGGGCAGGUUGAAGGUUGGGUAACACUAACUGGAGGACCGAACCGACUAAUGUUGAAAAAUUAGCGGAUGACUUGUGGCUGGGGGUGAAAGGCCAAUCAAACCGGGAGAUAGCUGGUUCUCCCCGAAAGCUAUUUAGGUAGCGCCUCGUGAAUUCAUCUCCGGGGGUAGAGCACUGUUUCGGCAAGGGGGUCAUCCCGACUUACCAACCCGAUGCAAACUGCGAAUACCGGAGAAUGUUAUCACGGGAGACACACGGCGGGUGCUAACGUCCGUCGUGAAGAGGGAAACAACCCAGACCGCCAGCUAAGGUCCCAAAGUCAUGGUUAAGUGGGAAACGAUGUGGGAAGGCCCAGACAGCCAGGAUGUUGGCUUAGAAGCAGCCAUCAUUUAAAGAAAGCGUAAUAGCUCACUGGUCGAGUCGGCCUGCGCGGAAGAUGUAACGGGGCUAAACCAUGCACCGAAGCUGCGGCAGCGACGCUUAUGCGUUGUUGGGUAGGGGAGCGUUCUGUAAGCCUGCGAAGGUGUGCUGUGAGGCAUGCUGGAGGUAUCAGAAGUGCGAAUGCUGACAUAAGUAACGAUAAAGCGGGUGAAAAGCCCGCUCGCCGGAAGACCAAGGGUUCCUGUCCAACGUUAAUCGGGGCAGGGUGAGUCGACCCCUAAGGCGAGGCCGAAAGGCGUAGUCGAUGGGAAACAGGUUAAUAUUCCUGUACUUGGUGUUACUGCGAAGGGGGGACGGAGAAGGCUAUGUUGGCCGGGCGACGGUUGUCCCGGUUUAAGCGUGUAGGCUGGUUUUCCAGGCAAAUCCGGAAAAUCAAGGCUGAGGCGUGAUGACGAGGCACUACGGUGCUGAAGCAACAAAUGCCCUGCUUCCAGGAAAAGCCUCUAAGCAUCAGGUAACAUCAAAUCGUACCCCAAACCGACACAGGUGGUCAGGUAGAGAAUACCAAGGCGCUUGAGAGAACUCGGGUGAAGGAACUAGGCAAAAUGGUGCCGUAACUUCGGGAGAAGGCACGCUGAUAUGUAGGUGAAGUCCCUUGCGGAUGGAGCUGAAAUCAGUCGAAGAUACCAGCUGGCUGCAACUGUUUAUUAAAAACACAGCACUGUGCAAACACGAAAGUGGACGUAUACGGUGUGACGCCUGCCCGGUGCCGGAAGGUUAAUUGAUGGGGUCAGCGCAAGCGAAGCUCUUGAUCGAAGCCCCGGUAAACGGCGGCCGUAACUAUAACGGUCCUAAGGUAGCGAAAUUCCUUGUCGGGUAAGUUCCGACCUGCACGAAUGGCGUAAUGAUGGCCAGGCUGUCUCCACCCGAGACUCAGUGAAAUUGAACUCGCUGUGAAGAUGCAGUGUACCCGCGGCAAGACGGAAAGACCCCGUGAACCUUUACUAUAGCUUGACACUGAACAUUGAGCCUUGAUGUGUAGGAUAGGUGGGAGGCUUUGAAGUGUGGACGCCAGUCUGCAUGGAGCCGACCUUGAAAUACCACCCUUUAAUGUUUGAUGUUCUAACGUUGACCCGUAAUCCGGGUUGCGGACAGUGUCUGGUGGGUAGUUUGACUGGGGCGGUCUCCUCCUAAAGAGUAACGGAGGAGCACGAAGGUUGGCUAAUCCUGGUCGGACAUCAGGAGGUUAGUGCAAUGGCAUAAGCCAGCUUGACUGCGAGCGUGACGGCGCGAGCAGGUGCGAAAGCAGGUCAUAGUGAUCCGGUGGUUCUGAAUGGAAGGGCCAUCGCUCAACGGAUAAAAGGUACUCCGGGGAUAACAGGCUGAUACCGCCCAAGAGUUCAUAUCGACGGCGGUGUUUGGCACCUCGAUGUCGGCUCAUCACAUCCUGGGGCUGAAGUAGGUCCCAAGGGUAUGGCUGUUCGCCAUUUAAAGUGGUACGCGAGCUGGGUUUAGAACGUCGUGAGACAGUUCGGUCCCUAUCUGCCGUGGGCGCUGGAGAACUGAGGGGGGCUGCUCCUAGUACGAGAGGACCGGAGUGGACGCAUCACUGGUGUUCGGGUUGUCAUGCCAAUGGCACUGCCCGGUAGCUAAAUGCGGAAGAGAUAAGUGCUGAAAGCAUCUAAGCACGAAACUUGCCCCGAGAUGAGUUCUCCCUGACUCCUUGAGAGUCCUGAAGGAACGUUGAAGACGACGACGUUGAUAGGCCGGGUGUGUAAGCGCAGCGAUGCGUUGAGCUAACCGGUACUAAUGAACCGUGAGGCUUAACC